Molecule: ribosomal RNA, 603 nt
Filed under: uncultured fungus
Lineage: Eukaryota; Fungi
Description: eukaryotic LSU rRNA
Rfam family: 5.8S ribosomal RNA (bases 242-395)
Source: RNAcentral
ACUUGAACAGGCUGUUGCUGGCCCCUCUGGGGUGUGUGCACGCUUGUCUCAUCUUUAUUAUUUCUCCAACUGUGCACCUCAUGUAGAUCCUCGAGCCUUUGUAUGAAUGUUCUCAUUCGAGUAGGGACUGCUGUUGCUUUUCUUUGAAAGGCCAGCUUUGCCUUUUGCUCUUGGGGUUCUAUGUCCAUCUAUCACAAACGAGUUUAGAAUGUCUAUAAUGAAAAAAAAGUGAAAUAUAUACAACUUUCAGCAACGGAUCUCUUGGCUCUCGCAUCGAUGAAGAACGCAGCGAAAUGCGAUAAGUAAUGUGAAUUGCAGAAUUCAGUGAAUCAUCGAAUCUUUGAACGCACCUUGCGCUCCUUGGUAUUCCGAGGAGCAUGCCUGUUUGAGUGUCAUUUGACUUAUCAAAACCACCUCAUCUGCUUGGUGGCUUUGGAUGUGGGGGUCUUUGCAGGCUUUGAACAAAGGUCGGCUCCCCUGAAACGCAUUAGUGGCAUCUGAGCUGCUACUAUAGGUGUGAUAAAUUAUCUAUGCCUUUGGUACGCCGCAUGAACGGAUCACGCUGCUCACAACGAAAAAGAGAACUUUGACAAACUUGACCUC